RNAcentral lists this ribosomal RNA (252 nucleotides) under uncultured bacterium. RNAcentral's name for it is "partial 16S ribosomal RNA". It matches the Rfam family "Bacterial small subunit ribosomal RNA", at positions 524 to 776 of the family's 1533-position model. The record is from RNAcentral.
UACGUAGGGGGCAAGCGUUGUCCGGAUUUAUUGGGCGUAAAGCGCGCGCAGGUGGUGGAUUAAGUUGUGGGUAAAAGGCAUUGGCUCAACCAAUGUAAGCCUGCAAAACUGGUUCACUUGAGUGCAGGAGAGGGGAGUGGAAUUCCCGGUGUAGCGGUGGAAUGCGUAGAUAUCCAGAGGAACUCCGGUGGCGAAGGCGGCACGCUGGACCCCGUCUGACGCUGAGGCGCGAAAGCCAGGGGAGCGAACGGG